RNAcentral lists this small RNA (2099 nucleotides) under Cryptococcus neoformans H99. Its description in RNAcentral is "Cryptococcus neoformans var. grubii H99 hypothetical RNA". Lineage: Eukaryota; Fungi; Basidiomycota; Tremellomycetes; Tremellales; Cryptococcaceae. The record is from RNAcentral.
AUCUACAUUGUAAUAUAUUGAUGGAUGAUUGACAAUUACUAACAAGUGUCUUUAAGCCAAACCCAAGGCUUUGCGCUUGUCCUUGAUAGCUUCUGCCAACCUCUGGAAACCUAAAUCCGACUCCUCCCCAAGGUCAACAAUAGAGAAGGAUACUCGAACAUGAGAGCUCUUCCUUCCAGUGGGGUAGAAACUAAGCACAAAGUACACCUAACACACCCUUCGCAAGAGCCUCGUGUCUGAUCAAUUCAUAGGUAUCCUCGAUACCAGCGGGCCUAAGAUCGAUCCAGAGGAACAUUCCAGCCACAGGAGAAACCCAAGAAGCCAAACCGUCGAGAUACUUGUGAGCGGUGGCUUCGAAUUGAGCUCGACGCUCGGCGUAGAGCUUGGCGACUGCUCGGCCGUGGGCUAGGAAACCCUCAAUGCCCCCUACAUCAAAACGUUAGGCAUACAAGGAGGGGCAAAGAGGAUAUGGCAUACAGUACUGCAUGAGGCGAAGAGCGACACCUUGAGAGACAGCACUGGUGUGCAAGUUGGCACCAGCAGUGCUCACAUCAAUAGCGUGAAGGAUUUCCUUAGGGCCGGUUGCAAAGCCCUAUGAUAUGCGUCAACGAAUUGCUUCUACGGGGCGCCAAGAUGACAUACUAAUCGCAUACCGGCGGAGAGAAGUUUAGAGAAAGAGUCGAAUCGAACAACAUGACCUCCUUCCGGGUAGACUUGCUUUUCGAGGGCGAAGUAACUGGGAAUGAGCUUUUGAGCGAGGUAAUCUAUUGAUCGUCUGCAUGUGCGAAUCAGCAUAAGAUCGACUUUUUAUUAUUACUGAAAACCACUCACCCUCAAAGAUUAAAACGUCGUACUUCUUGCACACCUUCAAAACCUCCAACUUUCUCUCCUUGGGCGCAGAACAUCCAGAGGGGUUGGAGCCAAUAGGAGAGGUGUAAAGCACCCUUGGCCUCUUUUUGUCUGCAGGCCACUCGCUCAAGACCUUCUCCAGGUUCUUAGCCGAUAGGCCAUGGUCAUCGACAUCAACCUCGACUGAUUCCGCUUUCAGAACCCUCAGAGCAGGGAGAACGCCUGGGUACAUAGGGGUCUCGAGCAAUACGGGGUCUCCAGGGUUUAGUACGGCCUGAAAUCCCUUGAACAUCAAGUCCUGACUACCGCUUCCGAUAGAAAUAACGUAAUCACCUCUUGGUCGCUCGUGCACGUGGGCUUGCAAGUCAGCAAGCCAUUCACAGAGCUUGGGAAUACCGGAAGAAGGGGCAUAUUGGAGGGCAAUAGCAAGAUCAGGGUCCUCAAUGGUGAUGGAAACGGGCAUGUUGUUGGAGGACUCGGAAACGCCAAGAGGGGGUUUGAGGUUGAGGGUAAUGGAGUUGAAUGGGAAGGUGUCAGGGUUGGGUCGGCCGGCACUGAGGCAUAUUAGUAAUACAAUUUGUGGGAGAAAAAUAGCCAUACAGCUACUCUAGGUAAGCGCUUGCUUCAAAGAAUCAAGAUUUGACAUACGAAGGAGACAAUGCCAGGCCCUUCGCAAGCCAUUAAACCACGAACUGUGAAAAAAAAUUAGCUCUACCUACCCCCUUGUACCCCCGCCCUGAUUCAGCACACCCACUUCCAUCAAUCUCGGUAACCUUUGCCCUGUCGCUGAGGUGGCUUCGAGGGUUGUACUUGCCGGUUGCGCCGUUGGCCUUAGUUCCCGCGGCCUGAACCUGGGUGACGGUUUCUGUGGAGAUAGUAGCAGCGGUCAUGUUGUCUGUGAAUGGAUGGAUGUAUAGAGAGAGGACGCUGGAGAAUGGUAUUAAGGUAUAUAUAUAGGGUGUGAUAUGAGCGCUGUGAAGGUUGACGGUCGGAUCUUGAGUCGACGCAAUUAAACGACCGAGAUGGAUAAGACGGAUGGAGUCGUCGAGCGGGGGUCUGUCGGGUUCGGAUAAUUAAUCGAUUCGCGCGCGAUAACAACUUUUUCAUUCGGUCAUGUCCGAUUCACCGCACGCACACCACCAUACCGGCCGACCACUUGUACAAUGUACUACAGAUCUGCCAGCUCCCCUGUAUCCAUAUAAUAGCGCUGUCAUGCGUGAAAACGAAGAAUAAAUGCUGAUGCAUUCCUA